This 199-nucleotide ribosomal RNA is filed under the name uncultured bacterium. RNAcentral describes it as "partial 16S ribosomal RNA". It matches the Rfam family "Bacterial small subunit ribosomal RNA", at positions 328 to 539 of the family's 1533-position model. The record is from RNAcentral.
ACGCUCGACACCUACGGGAGGGAGCAGUCGGGAAUAUUGCGCAAUGGAGGGAACUCUGACGCAGUGACGCCGCGUAUAGGAAGAAGGUUUUCGGAUUGUAAACUAUUGUCGUUAGGGAAGAGAAAGGACAGUACCUAAGGAGGAAGCUCCGGCUAACUACGUGCUAGCAGCCGCGGUAAUCUGAGCGGGCUGGCAAGGC